Molecule: ribosomal RNA, 594 nt
Filed under: uncultured bacterium
Lineage: Bacteria
Description: bacterial SSU rRNA
Rfam family: Bacterial small subunit ribosomal RNA
Source: RNAcentral
UAGUCCACGCAGUAAACGAUGAAUACUAGGUGCUGGGUCCCACAGGGAUUCGGUCCGCCGCUAACGCAUUAAGUAUUCCACCUGGGGAGUACGUUCGCAAGAAUGAAACUCAAAGAAUUGACGGGGACCCGCACAAGCGGUGGAGCAUGUGGUUUAAUUCGAAGCAACGCGAAGACCUUACCAAGUCUUGACAUCCCUCUGACAGGUGUAGAGAUACACCCUUCUUCGGACAGAGAGACAGGUGGUGCAUGGUUGUCGUCAGCUCGUGUCGUGAGAUGUUGGGUUAAGUCCCGCACGAGCGCAACCCUUAUGCUUAGUAGCCAGCGGUUCGGCCGGGCACUCUAAGCAGACUGCAGGAAUAACCUGGAGGAAGGUGGGGAUGACGUCAAAUCAUCAUGCCCCUUAUGACUUGGGUACACACGUGCUACAAUGGCGCCGACAAAGGGAAGCAAACCCGCGAGGGGGAGCAAAUCCGAAACGGCGUCCCAGUUCGGACUGUAGUCUGCAACCCGACUAUACGAAGCUGGAAUCGCUGUAAUCGCGAAUCAGAAUGUCGCGGUGAAUACGUUCCCGGGUCUUGUACACACCGCCCGU